UUCUCCUAGCAGAAAAGGAAGAAGAAGAGGGAACACAGAAACCAACCAACAGAAUCAAGACCUCGAGAAAACAGCAAGACCAAAGCAGCUAAUGAAGAGGCAGCCAGUAUGUGUGCAACCGUGGGUAUGCACGGGUGUGUGCACACAGGCAGGAUUGGAGGGGAACUAUAGAGAAGAAAUUAACAUUGAAAAUGCAGAGGUGGAACAUGCUGCAAAAUGAAAGGAAAAGCAUGCCAUGAAAAAUACAUCAGAAGGCACAAGUCAUUGCUGUACUUGUAUAAAGGCACUCCCAGAGGCCUGCUGUAUAUGUAGCACAUUCUGGAGCUCGCCCGAAGCUCACAUUCUGCUGGACAGUCCGUUGACAGGGAGCCUACCAGCAGUGCAACAGAAACAUCAGCCUCACUGGUCAGAGUGGGGGUGAACGAGCAUGUUAACAACGGAGACCCUCUGGAACCUGGAGUAAGGUGAUGUCACACACUGGACAAGCACACACUGCAGACAUCUUCAUAGCAAAUUUUGUAAAAACAAAACAAAAGAACCCUCUUGGAGGGCGCCUGGGUGGCUCAGUGGGUUAA
Molecule: long non-coding RNA, 575 nt
Organism: Lutra lutra (Eurasian river otter)
Lineage: Eukaryota; Metazoa; Chordata; Mammalia; Carnivora; Mustelidae
Exons: 3
Source: RefSeq, a predicted model, not a curated record